CAGGGAUUGCCCUAGUAACGGCGAGUGAAGCGGCAACAGCUCAAAUUUGAAAUCUGGCUCUUUCAGAGUCCGAGUUGUAAUUUGCAGAGGGCGCUUUGGCUUUGGCAGCGGUCCAAGUUCCUUGGAACAGGACGUCACAGAGGGUGAGAAUCCCGUACGUGGUCGCUAGCUAUUGCCGUGUAAAGCCCCUUCGACGAGUCGAGUUGUUUGGGAAUGCAGCUCUAAAUGGGAGGUAAAUUUCUUCUAAAGCUAAAUAUUGGCCAGAGACCGAUAGCGCACAAGUAGAGUGAUCGAAAGAUGAAAAGCACUUUGGAAAGAGAGUCAAACAGCACGUGAAAUUGUUGAAAGGGAAGCGCUUGCAGCCAGACUUGCUUGCAGUUGCUCAUCCGGGCUUUUGCCCGGUGCACUCUUCUGUAGGCAGGCCAGCAUCAGUUUGGGCGGUGGGAUAAAGGUCUCUGUCACGUACCUCUCUUCGGGGAGGCCUUAUAGGGGAGACGACAUACCACCAGCCUAGACUGAGGUCCGCGCAUCUGCUAGGAUGCUGGCGUAAUGGCUGUAAGCGGCCCGUCUUGAAACACGGACCAAGGAGUCUAACAUCUAUGCGAGUGUUUGGGUGUCAAGCCCGAGCGCGUAAUGAAAGUGAACGGAGGUGGGAACCCGCAAGGGUGCACCAUCGACCGAUCCUGAAGUUUACGGAAGGAUUUGAGUAAGAGCAUGGCUGUUGGGACCCGAAAGAUGGUGAACUAUGCUUGAAUAGGGUGAAGCCAGAGGAAACUCUGGUGGAGGCUCGCAGCGGUUCUGACGUGCAAAUCGAUCGUCAAAUUUGGGCAUAGGGGCGAAAGACUAAUC
RNAcentral lists this ribosomal RNA (849 nucleotides) under Bipolaris salviniae. RNAcentral's name for it is "eukaryotic LSU rRNA". It matches the Rfam family "Eukaryotic large subunit ribosomal RNA", at positions 69 to 936 of the family's 3401-position model. Lineage: Eukaryota; Fungi; Ascomycota; Dothideomycetes; Pleosporales; Pleosporaceae. The record is from RNAcentral.